CCUACGGGAGGCAGCAGUAGGGAAUCUUCCGCAAUGGACGAAAGUCUGACGGAGCGACGCCGCGUGAGCGAUGAAGGUCUUCGGAUUGUAAAGCUCUGUUGUUAGGGAAGAACAAGUACCGGAGUAACUGCCGGUACCUUGACGGUACCUACAGAGCG
Molecule: ribosomal RNA, 158 nt
Filed under: uncultured bacterium
Lineage: Bacteria
Description: partial 16S ribosomal RNA
Rfam family: Bacterial small subunit ribosomal RNA
Source: RNAcentral